GCCCACGACUCCCUCGUCUCUCCCAAAUCGCCGCCACCAAUGCCUCGUCUCCCUCCUCCGACCCGCCUCGUCCCCCUUGCGCCGACCCUCCCCCUCCCCUCCUCCCACCUCACAGCUCCGGGGGCUGCCGGGUCCGCCACAUCCCCACCCAACCAUCCCUCUCGCGUCCCAUCCCGAUCUCUUCAUGCGGCUCCUCGCCGUGCUACCUGCGGCGGCUGCAUCAGGUGAUUUCCGGCGAAUCCCGCCGGUGCCAAGCAUAGCCCGAUGUCCCUUUGCUCCGUGGAGCCCUCCCAUCCAGCUAGAUCGAGUGCUUGCUGCCACCAAAGCCCACCCGUGACCCAUCCCCCAUGGCUAGCGUUUGGGGCGUCAGAUCCGGUGUCGGUGGCCAUGUCGUCCUCGUCUCAUCCGACAUGCAGGGAGGAACGGCCAGUGAACAAUCUUGCUGGGGCUCGGGAUGAAGCAGCGACGAGCUUCCUCCUCCUCCCUCUUCAGCUGAGGUGUAGCAACGGCAGUUUGAAGCAGCGGCCGCGGGCAUCUUUGGCGGCAAGGCUGUCGAGUGAAGGAAGUGUCGGUGUGGCGAUUUGUGUUCUAUUCUCCAUCCUUUAAGCUCAUAACAGCAGAAAGAACUGUACAAUCGACUGUAUCACUAUUGUUUUAUUAAGAAAAAAACAUGUUCUGUACGCAUGUAUUGAUGAAUACUCCUCUUCACUCGAUUGUGUUGUAGGGAGUGAAAGCAUCCAGUUGGGGUGGUCUGCAGCUGUGGUUGCCUCAGGGAUAAAUUCAUUGAGCAAGAUGUAAAGUUGCCAAGAUAGUAACUAGGACACAUAGAAUGGGACGAAUAGAUUCUCUUCUUUUAUUAUAUAGGAACUUGAUGAAGCUUUACUUGUGUUGCGCUGUUCUAGAGAUGCAUGAGACACCUGUAACCUUUUUCCCUUGGCUUUGCAGCUGCACGCACCAACUUGAUGUUGGGGGACACCAUGGAAGGUGUACAAAAUUAGCAAUGGAUCUCUAGGCUGGUGAUGACCAUGUAAAUUUGUUUUAGUGGACUUGGGGCUGUAGGUUCAUUCAAAAGCAUGGUGAGCACCUGUAGGUUUGUCCAUUUCCUGUUGGAUGACUCAAACCAACUAGAGCUAAAUGUUUUUGUUCAGUUUCAGAUGUUUGGUUCAGUUUGCUAAUUGAAUGGAAAAGAGAAGAGAAGUAGCACAAUAGCGCUUAGGCUACUGUCCAUAUAAUGUUAUUGAGCCAUGUUGUUCUGCAGGCUAUGUCGUAUAUUGUGGAAUCUUUAUUAGUCAUCAAUGAUCACUAACACUCAUGCUAGUAUAUUUUCAGAAUCAUAACAGGGACGUAGUUCUUUCUAUAGUUCCAAGUUAUGAUCCUAAAUUUAAACUCGAUGGUGCUGAAAUUAAAAUGCAUUUUGGGCAGUGUAAUACAACACUUGCGAAAACUGAAGAUUUCGUACAGAGUCGCAAAAACUGCAAUCAUAUUGGUAAUGCAGAAAAAAUAUUGCAUGGCCUUCAACCUUUAUUCAAAAGAUAUAUGGAUGAUUAUAUGGUUGCGUAACAAGUAUAUUGCAAUGAUGAUGACGACGACGAUGACGACAACGAUGAUGAUAUUCUGGUUCAUGAUGCUGAUGCUGAUGGAUGCUUUCAAUUUUAGUUAAGUUGUGGGAUGUUCCUUUUGGACAAUGUUCCUCAGUUAGUUUUAGUUAAUUUGUAGGGACGUUGAUGGACAAUUUUAGUUUAGAUUUUCCUGUCAAGAAAAUAUUAGAUUAUGCAUCACAUUUGGAUGAUGUUCCUCUUGUAAUACCCAUUGUUGUAAUUCAAUAGUUUUAACUGAUAUAUGAUUUCUUCCUCUUGUGAA
This is a long non-coding RNA of Triticum aestivum (bread wheat), 1860 nucleotides long. RefSeq lists it as uncharacterized. The record is from RefSeq and is a predicted model, not a curated record. The transcript is spliced from 5 exons. NCBI's taxonomy places the organism in Eukaryota, Viridiplantae, Streptophyta, Magnoliopsida, Poales, Poaceae.